Molecule: RNA transcript, 4841 nt
Organism: Gadus chalcogrammus (walleye pollock)
Lineage: Eukaryota; Metazoa; Chordata; Actinopteri; Gadiformes; Gadidae
Gene: itga4
Gene name: integrin alpha 4
Exons: 4
Source: RefSeq, a predicted model, not a curated record
UCAAAGUGUGAGAGAGUGAGCCCCCCCUCAGAGAAAAAAAUUCAGCUUUUUUUUCUAAAUACCUGCGUUUUGAAAGCUAUUUUAAUUAUUUUACACAUUUCAAACAUCUCCGAUCAUAAUUUUAAAACAUUUGGAUCAUAUUUUUGAAACAUUUGAAACACAUUUUUUAACAUAUUUUAUGGGACAUUCAGCAGGUUAGGCAGGAAAAUAUUAGCUCUAUGGUCCUCAGUUUGGAUGCUGAAAAAGCUUUCGAUUCGGUUGGGAGGGAAUUCCUCUAUGUAGUGAUGUACAGAUUUGGCUUUAGCAAAGAUUUCAUACGCUGUAUUCAAGCUCUUUAUUCCUCUCCUACCGCAAGAGUAAAAGUCAACGGGAGUCUUUCCAACUCUAUCAUUUUGCAACGUGGCUGCAGGCAAGGCUGCCCAGCCAGCCCUAGUCUAUUUAAAUUGUUUAUUGAACCUCUAGCUCAAGCAAUUCGGCAGGAGGUCGGACUUAAAGGCAUAUCUGUGGGAAGUGAGGCGUACAAAAUAGGACUUUACGCAGACGACGUAUUGGUCACGAUCCUGGACCCGGGCUCUGGCUUACCUAUACUAAUGAGAAUGUUAGAAACAUAUGGGACACAUUCAGGUUAUGUUCUUAAUGUACACAAAACCCAGGUCUUGAGAUUUAAUUAUAGUCCUACGCAAGACUUUAUCACAAGGUAUAAUUUUAAUUGGAAUUCAACUCACAUAAAUUACCUUGGAGUACGUCUACCUAAGGAUCUCUCACAGCUAUUUGUUAUUAAUUAUAAUUCAGUUAAUCAUAAUAUAGAUGAUGACCUCACUAGAUGGGCCCUCCUUCCUCUCGACUUUGGCAGUAGAAUUAGAUCCGUUAAAAUUAAUAUUCUUCCCAGAUUAUUAUAUCUUUUUUUAUCACUUCCAGUAGAAAUCCCCCAGAACCAAUUUAGAGAAUGGGAUAAGCAUAUUUCUCGAUUUAUUUGGAAUAAAAAGAAACCAAGGGUAAAAUUCUCUACCCUCCAGCUGCCGGAGGAAAGGGGGGGCAUGGCCCUCCCUUCCUUAAGAAAAUAUUAUUUGUCGGCUCAUUUGAGGCCUUUGGUGUAUUGGUGUAACCCAUCCUACGUUGCCAAAUGGAAAACCAUGGAGUUAUCUAUAUCAGAUUCACCAAUACAAUCACUGCUUGGCUUUGUUGACAAGGAGAACGAAAUUAUACAAGUAGUGGAUCAGUGGGUUAAUCUAUCACUAAAGAUAUGGACGGAAGUCGUAAAAUGUUUUCAACUCCAAAGAGACAUUAAACUGCUAAGAUGGCCAGCCUACGACCCUGACUUCAUACCAGCACUGCAGGAUCAUAGGUAUAGACAGUGGGUUUAUUAUGGUAUUACUGCUAUUUGUAAGACCGCUGAAACGGGCGAGUUUAAAAGCUUUAACAACCUAUGUCAAACAUACGGGCUGGGCAGACAAGACUUUUACAGAUACUUGCAGCUUCGUGACUAUUUUUGUAAAAAGAUAAGAGGUGCUAAUUUAAGAGAAAUACAAACUAUUGUUCAAAUAUUUAUUGAUGCAUAUAAUUCUGGAAACAUCAUUGGUCUGAUAAGCAAGUUGUAUUGCGGAAUCAUAUCUCUGAACAAGGACUCAACAGACUAUGUGAAGGAACGAUGGGAAAAAGAACUGAACAUUGUAAUAACUGAAGACAUAUGGCUGAAUGCCUGGACAACACAGUUUUCCUCCACCAACUCCCGGACCUGGAGGGACUUCUGUUGGAAAAACUUGAUUCGUUUUUUUACCACCCCAAAACAGAAGAUCUUGGUUAUUUUCCUGAUAAGCUAAGUAAAGAUGAUGCAUACCUCUUAAAGAUUUUGCUGGCAGCAAGUAAAAAGGCGUCACAAAAUUCUGGCUUCAGAAAAAUGCUCCUACUGUUGGUCUCUUUGUUAGCAUUGUUAGUAGUUGCAUCUUUUGGAAAGAAUGACUUACUCCAUACGACUUCAAAAGGAGUUGGGUGAAAAGCGAUGGGGAAAAUGGUCGGUUUAUUUAGCUAGUCAGACAGAUUUGGCAUAGACACUGCGCUGUGAGCGGGUUCUUUUUCUAAGCCUUGGAGAUAGGCAAGAUUGCCAUGAUUAAGUGAUUGUCCCAUGACCUCUUGUUUUGUUUUCUGUAUGUGUUUGCUUUCUGUAUGUGUUUGCUGUUUGUGGAUAAUGGGAAAAAUACUCAUGAAUAAAAAGUAAAAAAAAAAGUGUGGUGAUUUUAUAACUUAAGUUUGGUGAUGUUAUAACUGAAGUUAUGUUAUAACUGAUGUGUGGUGAUGUUAUAACUGGAGUGUGGUGAUGCAAUAGCUUAAGUGUGACGAUGUUAUAAUCACCAACUGGACACCAGAGCUUUUGUCGCGGUAAUCUUCAGUUCUUUAGUUUGUAGCCACUUUCGUGCUAACUUCAUGUUAGUACUGUUUAAUAUCAGAAAGGUAUAUGGCUAGUACAGGCUGCUGUAGCAGUGUAUGGUAGUAGUAUUAUUGUAUACUGUCAAGUUACCAGCUCAGGUCAGUACCCUGAAGGCCGUAGUACAUAGUGGGUAUACAUAGUGAUAUUCAAUGUAUUGAGUAGGUUACAAAGUACUUUGGUUGUAUAGUAAUGUGUGUGUGCAUGUAUGUUUUUGUGUAGUUCUGUAGCCAUGGUGACCUGCUGUGUGAGCGCUUAGUGUGUAACCUAGGUUACCUGGAGCCGGGCAGCGAGGCCACCAUCGCCCUGGAGAUAGGACUGAAUCCUGCAGUCCUGCAUCACAGUCCGGGUCGUCAUAGUUUGAUGCUGCUGGAAAGUUCGGCCAUCUUGACGUCUCCUAGCAACGGAGAUCAAAGCAUCUUGCUGCAGCCUCGAGCCCUGGCACGGGUGGUGCUAGAGGCUCAUUCCUCCCAGAAGCCAUCAGGCAGGGUUAAACUCUUCAUCAUCAUCAUCAGUCUGGUUCUGGGCCUACUGAUACUGGCUCUGCUCAUCUACUGCCUGUGGAAGGCAGAGUUCUUUAAGCGAGAGUUCCAGAAGGACGAGGCCAAGAGAGACAGCUGGGACUAUGUCUCCAAGAGCACCUCCUCCUCCUGACCUCCUCCUCCUGACCCCCUUCUGACCUCAUCCCCCUCCUCCUGACCUCUACCUCCUCCUCCUGACCUCGUCCUCCUGACCUCAUCCUCCUGACCUCCUCUUCCUCCUCCUGACCUCCACCUCCUUCUCCUGACCUCCACCUCCUCCUGACCUCCUCCUGACCUCUACCUCCUCCUCCUGACCUCUACCUCCUCCUCCUGACCUCCACCUCCUCCUCCUGACCUCCACCUCCUCCUCCUGACCUCCACCUCCUGACCUCCACCUCCUCUUCCUGACCUCUACCUCCUGACCUCUACCUCCUCCUCCUGACCUCCACCUCCUCCUCCUGACCUCUACCUCCUCCUCCUGACCUCCACCUCCUCCUCCUGACCUCAAUCUCCUCCUCCUGACCUCCACCUCCUCCACCUAUUACUCAUCUCCUCCACCACCACAUCCUCACCACCUCAAGACUAGUCAACAGCGAUGCAGAACAGCCUGUUUUCUGACUGAAAUCCUUGAUGCCAUGUGAGAUGUGUGCCUUGCUGACUGCCUGCUGUGGGUGUGAUUCUCAGAUUAGUCAUCUUUCAUUAUUAUUUUAUUCUGUGUUAUUCUCAGAUCUGUCUUUUAUAUUAUUAGUAAAUCAUGUGCUUAAGGUUUUUUUUUACACCAGGGCUGUUUUAAUUGUGCCAUAGCUUUUUGUACCAGUUAUGGCCGCUGUGGUGAGUUGAGGUUUAUGGCAUCUAGUGGAAAAUGUGAUAUAAUAUUCAUAAGUAGCUUUUGGUUAGUGUACAAUCCCAUGAAAAUAAGACCAUAGAAUUUUUCAAUGUUAAUCAAAAUCACCAUCUCACUUGUAAGAUAUUACCUGUAUUUUUACAGACAAAAUAACUAAAUACAAUUUAUAAUCUUUAAGGGAGUCUUGUUGAUGUAGGUGAUGACAGGCCACUACCGGCCCAUGGCUGCUCACGGCUGAUAGGGGACAGGUGGGGGGGGGGGGGCUGGUUGCUAGGCGCCACAUCCCCCUCCACUGCACUUUGGAAUCAUUUAAAAACAUUGAACCAUUUAAAUUGCAUUUAGCAAGAAAGCAUUUCUUUGUUUGUAUGCAUCAAGGUACAUUUCCUUCCGCAUAUUAAAUUAGAACAACCAAUCAAAUUGAGCCGGUCUGAACGCCCUCCUCCGGUCUGAAAGGAGACAGGGUUUCAAAAUAAGGGCGUCCCCGGUAAACGUAAUGUUGGGACAUAAACACUUUAAAUUAACCGUCCCCAUCUACAAGUGCUGAAGAGUUUAGAUAUAUGUAUAUUUUUGGUUAACCAGAGAGACUUCGUCAUGUUUGUAUUUGUUAAAAUAAAUGAUUAAACAUGUCAGCUAACAAAAGUCUGUAUGUACCAACACCAGAAGGGACUUUGAGGGAGAGCCAGUACAAGGGGUCUCAGGGCCAGUGUGUUUCAGAGGCUAAAGAAUGUAACGCGGCCAAUGCUUAUUAAUUAUGUUGUGGUUGAGUCUGUAUGGGGGGGAUAAAACGUCCCAGAGGAGCGAGGACACCAGUCUCCUGAACCUCCGUGGUGUUCUCCUGACUCCCCUCAAGUAGAGGGGGUUCACUGGUCUGGUGUUUGUUUCACCUUCUCUGGCUGUGGCUGUCCUGUGGCUGUGGUCCAGCAGCAGAGCCUCAUCUCUACCGCCUGAAUGUCCUUAAGUUUCAUCUCACUUCUAUUGUUAGAAAAAAAAGAACGUUUUUGAUGUUGAAAUACCUUUAUUGUCACAUUUGUCACCUAUAAAUUGUAAGAAAUAU